CUGGGCAGAAGCCCCAGAAGAGUAAAGUCUUCCAGAUUUAGACCACACCAUCCUGGACAGAAUGGUGGGACAGUUCUCCCCUGCCCACUACUGGAGGGACAAGCCACCAGGAGCAGAGGAGCAACACCCCCCCCCCAUUGCUUCCAUCUCUAAACCUUCCAGAGUUCCAGCCUCUCUCAUCCUCUUAGCCCACAGAGAUGGAAAAGUCAGGCACAGCUUCCAUGUCAGUGACUUAUGCUCACCAAAUGCGGACACCUGUGGAGUGAAGGAAAUAGCCUGCUUGCCUGACACAGAAUGGAGUCAAUACAUGGUGGUGAACAGGUCCUCAGGAGUGGGGGUGUAGGCUGGCCCGCCCCCAGCAUGUCCAUCAAGCUCCCCCCUCCACAAGGCCCUCCAUGCAGCACCUAUGGGUGUCAGUAUUACCUAAGCAUAGGCCAAAGCCAGCCCAGGGCUGGAGGGAGGAGAUUCCAGGUCAGAAUGUGAGGUCUUGGUCUGUGAUUUGAGGUGUUGCAUGUGGAAUCCUGAACUGUACGUGUAGUUUUUAGUGGCGAAAUCAAGGCUCUGAUCAUUUUGUUUUUAGUAUGAAAAUGUGAUUUCCUUUCUGUUUGUCACUCAUCAUAGAAACAUUGUGGUGGGAGGAGAGGGGAUAGUCUACUGCUAAUGAGGGAGACACCAAAGAUCUACAUCAUUAAAAUGAUGACACGC
This 705-nucleotide long non-coding RNA is filed under the name Mus musculus (house mouse). RNAcentral describes it as "long non-coding RNA chr2:91918138-91918843". The record is from RNAcentral. Lineage: Eukaryota; Metazoa; Chordata; Mammalia; Rodentia; Muridae.